AUUGCCCUCCAUGCUGCAGCCACCCAAACGGGGCCGCUUGUACUUUUGGGGGCCAGGGCCUGAUCCCUGGCUGGGGGAAGGGGACUCUGCUCUCCUGACGCUCAUUUUCCCCCGCCCUCCCGGGGUUUGCCCUACUCGGGGGGUCAGAAGACAGGAGAUUGGCGGCCAUUUUAGACGCAGUAACCGAGAGUCUGCACCCUUAUUUAGAUAACCAAGUUAGGAGGAAGACUUAAGAAUUCUUCGCUGCUGCUGCCUUACCGCCGAGAACCACCACCCGCCAGGCGUCUUGCGGCCACACCCCUGGCGGGUUCAGGCAGGCUACGCCCACGCGACCCCUCCCGUUUCCCUGCUUUGGCCAAUGGAGGAGCUACGAAUGGCACGACCUGCUCGAGCUUGGCAGUCUCCAGUUGGGCUGUGCAUGGAAGCUUGGGAAGACUUUGUUGGAAGGGGAGGCGGGGAGAGAGUGCUGGAGGCUCUGGGGCGAUGGCUUCCGCACCUCUUCCAACCACCCUCUUUCCCUGGAGUCGGCGGACCACAGCUCAGCCAAUUGGCUUGGAGAUGUGGCGGGGUGGC
RNAcentral lists this long non-coding RNA (573 nucleotides) under Homo sapiens (human). Its description in RNAcentral is "HSALNT0333784". Lineage: Eukaryota; Metazoa; Chordata; Mammalia; Primates; Hominidae. The record is from RNAcentral.